RNAcentral lists this ribosomal RNA (252 nucleotides) under uncultured bacterium. Its description in RNAcentral is "partial 16S ribosomal RNA". It matches the Rfam family "Bacterial small subunit ribosomal RNA", at positions 524 to 776 of the family's 1533-position model. The record is from RNAcentral.
UACGGAGGAUGCGAGCGUUAUCCGGAUUUAUUGGGUUUAAAGGGUGCGUAGGCGGACGCUUAAGUCAGCGGUAAAAUUGCGGGGCUCAACCUCUUCGAGCCGUUGAAACUGGGUGUCUUGAGUGGGCGAGAAGUACGCGGAAUGCGUGGUGUAGCGGUGAAAUGCAUAGAUAUCACGCAGAACUCCGAUUGCGAAGGCAGCGUACCGGCGCCCAACUGACGCUGAAGCACGAAGGCGUGGGUAUCGAACAGG